RNAcentral lists this long non-coding RNA (1631 nucleotides) under Sus scrofa (pig). Its description in RNAcentral is "lncRNA (ENSSSCG00015000747.1)". The record is from RNAcentral. Lineage: Eukaryota; Metazoa; Chordata; Mammalia; Artiodactyla; Suidae.
UACAGUUUAAAGUCUUAGGUUAUCAGAAUCACAAAUGUGCCUUUAAGUGUUGGAGGCAAAUCCCAUGAAAACAUCUGACUGUAAAAGGUGGAGACAAUGGCCAGUUAUUUCCUCUUGUUAUUGUGACACUGUGUUUUCUUUUCUGCCUUCAUGAAUGCGGGUGGAGAGGAAGGGGGCCCUGCUAUAAGAGGAACAAUUUAAAAACAAACAUUGGCAGAGUUCCUGUUGUGGCUCAAUGGGUUAAGAAUCCAACUGGUAUCCAUGAGGGUUGGGGUUCAAUCCCUGGCCUCGCUCAAUGGAGUAAAGAUCCGGUGUUACUGUGAGCUGUGGUGUAGGUGGCAGAUGUGGCUCAGAUUCUGUGUUGCUGUGGCUGUGGCGUAGGCCGUCGAUGCAGCUCCAGUUCAACCACUAGCCUGGGAACUUCCAUAUGCUGCAGGUCUGGGCCUAAAAAACAGAGGAAAAAAAAAAAAAGAAUGGCGCAUAACAUCUGUUUCCGAAGCCUGUUUACCGAACCACUGCAUUUCAACCAUCUAGUCUGGACACCUUUGAAAAGGAGGAUUCUUCUACUGCUAUGGAAAGAGAUGCUAAUAUAAAACGCCCAUAAAUUGGGGGAUUUGUUAAAUAAACUAAGGUAUAGUCAAGUCAUAGUAAUGAUGUAGCUGUUAAAAAGAAGUACUAGAGAUGCUGUUGUGGCUGAGCAGUAACGAACCCAACUAGUAUCCAUGAGAACUUGGAUUCAAUCCCUGGCCUUGCUCAGUGGGUUAAGAAUCCAGCAUUGCCGUGAGCUAUGGUGUAGGUCGCAGACACAGCUUGGAUCCCAUGUGGCUGUGGCUGACAGGUGCAGCUCCUUUUUGACCCCUAUCCUGGGAUCCUCCAUAUGCCCACAGGUACAGCCCUAAAAAGACCAAAAAAAAGGCAAAAAAGGAAAGAAUAAGUAGGAGUUCUCAUUGUGGCUCAGCAGGUUAAGAACCUGACAUAGUCUCCGUGAGGGUGCAGGUUGACUCCUUGGCCUCCAUCAGUGGGUUAAGGGUCUCACAUUGCUAUAAACUGUGGUAUAGGUCCCAGAUCUGGUGUGGCUGUGGUGUAGGCCUGCAGGUGCAGUUUUAAUUCAGCCGCAAGCCUGGAAACUUCCAUAUGCCCCAGGUGUGGCCUUAAAAAGAAAUAAUAAUAAUAAUAAUAAUAAAGGUAGUUUCCAUGUUCCAAGAAUGGUGGAGUAGCUUGAUUGCUCUAAUCCUCUGUAUAACAUUUAUAAUCUUCAUAAAGCAUUUAAAAAAAAGAACUCAUUUUAAGGCACGUAGAGAGCAAGCAAAAUGAGGCAGAAACUUGAACAGAAUUCCACCCACCCCCUGUUUUAUUUUUUAUUAUUUUUUUAAAAAUUUUUUUAUUUUUCUGUCUUUUUGCCUUUUCUAGGGCCGCACCUGAGGCAUAUGGAGGUUCCCAGGCUAGGAGCUAUAGCCGCCAGCGUACGCCAGAGCCACAGCAAAGUGGGAUCAGAGCUGCAUCUGCAACCUACACCACAGCUCAUGGCAACGCUGGAUCCUUAACCUACUGAGCAAGGCCAGGGAUCGAACCCACAACCUCAUGGUUCUGAGUUGGAAUCGUUAACCACUGUGCCACGAUGGGAACUCCCC